AUUGAACGCUGGCGGCAUGCCUUACACAUGCAAGUCGAACGGCAGCACGGGUGCUUGCACCUGGUGGCGAGUGGCGAACGGGUGAGUAAUACAUCGGAACGUACCUUAUCGUGGGGGAUAACGCAGCGAAAGCUGUGCUAAUACCGCAUACGCCCUGAGGGGGAAAGCGGGGGAUCGCAAGACCUCGCGCGAUUAGAGCGGCCGAUGCCUGAUUAGCUUGUUGGUGGGGUAAAAGCCCACCAAGGCGACGAUCAGUAGCUGGUCUGAGAGGACGAUCAGCCACACUGGGACUGAGACACGGCCCAGACUCCUACGGGAGGCAGCAGUGGGGAAUUUUGGACAAUGGGGGCAACCCCGAUCCAGCAAUGCCGCGUGAGUGAAGAAGGCCUUCGGGUUGUAAAGCACUUUUGUCAGGGAAGAAACACCGGCUCUAACACAGUCCGGGAAUGACGGUACCUGAAGAAUAAGCACCGGCUAACUACGUGCCAGCCGCCGCCGUAA
Molecule: ribosomal RNA, 501 nt
Filed under: uncultured bacterium
Lineage: Bacteria
Description: partial 16S ribosomal RNA
Rfam family: Bacterial small subunit ribosomal RNA
Source: RNAcentral